RNAcentral lists this ribosomal RNA (509 nucleotides) under Calligrapha lunata. RNAcentral describes it as "partial 16S ribosomal RNA". The stretch from base 382 to 509 matches the Rfam family "Bacterial large subunit ribosomal RNA", at positions 2473 to 2600 of the family's 2925-position model. Lineage: Eukaryota; Metazoa; Arthropoda; Insecta; Coleoptera; Chrysomelidae. The record is from RNAcentral.
GUYUUUUUGUUAAAAAUUUAAAGUCGGGCCUGCCCACUGAAAUUUUAAAUGGCCGUGGUAUUUUGACCGUGCUAAGGUAGCAUAAUCAUUAGUUUUUUAAUUGAAAGCUGGAAUGAAAGGUUUGAUAAAAAAAUGACUGUCUCUAUUUAAUUUUAUUAGAAAUUUAUUUUUAAGUUCAAAAGCUUAAUUUUUAUUAAAAGACGAGAAGACCCUAUAGAGUUUAAUAAUUUAAGGUAAUUUAUAUUUUAGAAUUAAUUUAUUUAUUUUUAAUAUUAUUUAAUUGGGGUGAUUGAAAAAUUUAAUUAACUUUUUUUAUAUUUAACCAUUAAUUUAUGAUAAUUUGAUCCAAUUUUUUUGAUUAUAAGAUAAAAUUACCUUAGGGAUAACAGCGUAAUUUUUUUAGAAAGUUCAAAUUAAAAGAAAAGAUUGCGACCUCGAUGUUGGAUUAAAAUUAAAUUUUGGUGUAGAAGCUAAAAAUUUUAAGUCUGUUCGACUUUUAAAAUUUUACA